Zea mays is the source of this 2075-nucleotide RNA transcript. It is a transcript of the gene named putative pyruvate dehydrogenase kinase family protein, with no coding region annotated. The transcript is spliced from 6 exons. Lineage: Eukaryota; Viridiplantae; Streptophyta; Magnoliopsida; Poales; Poaceae. The record is from RefSeq and is marked provisional.
CCCACAUCCCGGUGACUCUACACUCGGCUCCGCUCCACCACCGCGCUCGCCCUCUUCGUCGUUGCCGUCCGUCUCCACAGUCCCCACCCAUAUUCCAUUUUGGUUAUCCUCUUGCGUCACACCUCCUCCCUCCUGGCCUCCUCCUGCGGCCCACUUAUAUAUACCACCACGUCGAUGCGCUGCUCCGCCGGCAUCUCCAUCGCCGUCGCGCCGCCGUAGAUGGCCUGACAUUUUUCACUUCAUUUGUCAUCCCAAUUCCACAAACCUCGCGCGCGGCGGCGGAGGGAAACAAAAAAAAAAAGGAAGGAUGGCGUUGGAGCCGGUGGCGCGGGCGGUGGCGGAGGAGGUGGCGCGCUGGGGCGCGAUGCGCCAGACCGGGGUCAGCUUGCGCUACAUGAUGGAGUUCGGGGUGCGCCCCACGGAGCGGACCCUCCUGCUCGCCGCACAGUUCCUGCACAAGGAGCUCCCCAUCCGCAUCGCGCGACGGGCGCUCGACCUCGACUCGCUCCCCUUCGGCCUCUCCACCAAGCCCGCCAUCCUCAAGGUGAGAGAUUGGUAUGUGGAGUCAUUCCGUGACAUCCGGUCCUUCCCAGAGGUGAAGAACCAGGAAGAUGAACUCGCCUUCACCCAGAUGAUCAAAAUGAUCAAGGUGCGGCACACCAAUGUGGUGCCUGCGGUUGCAUUGGGUGUGCAGCAGCUGAAGAAGGACUUGGGUGGUCCAAAGGCGUUCCCACCUGGAAUCCAUGAGAUCCAUCAGUUCCUUGAUCGCUUCUACAUGUCAAGGAUUGGGAUCCGGAUGCUGAUAGGGCAGCACGUCGCUUUGCAUGACCCUGAUCCAGAGCCUGGUGUGAUAGGGCUUAUAAACACAAAAAUGUCACCCAUGACAGUAGCUCGAAUUGCUAGUGAAGAUGCACGUGCUAUUUGCAUGCGGGAGUAUGGAUCAUCUCCUAAUGUCGACAUAUAUGGUGAUCCGGGGUUUACAUUCCCAUAUGUUACACCACAUCUACAUCUCAUGAUUUUUGAGCUGGUGAAGAACUCCCUUCGCGCAGUACAGGAACGGUAUAUGGAUUCUGAUAAGCUUGCACCUCCGGUUCGAAUCAUAGUUGCUGAUGGAGCAGAGGACGUGACUAUUAAGCCAAAGGAGUAAAAGAGAUUUAAGGGAAGUUCACUCUAUUUAUUUCUUGCUGGCCUGAGGAGACAAGACCCGUAUUAAUAGUCAUCCAGCAAUGUCAGCUGACUUUUUUUUUCUUCUGGUUACAGCCAAAUGCAACUAGCAGAAAUGUAAAUAAACGCCCUUUAUGAUGCUAACAGAUAGCCAAUCCAACUAACUGGCUAACGCCUUUUGUUAGAAUUUUCUCAUUAAUUGUGAUAUUCAACCGACAAACUUGUAUCUUCUGCACCUAUGUUAGCAAAAAUCAAUAGCUUCGAUUAUUCAUGAUCUGGUAUGAAGUAUGAACUGUUUGACUAAACCAUACUUUUGCAGAUUACUGAUGAAGGUGGUGGAAUACCAAGGAGUGGUCUCUCAAGAAUUUUUACGUAUCUCUAUAGUACAGCAGAAAACCCUCCUGAUCUUGAUGUACAUAAUGAAGGAGUAACUAUGGCUGGAUAUGGUUAUGGGAUUCCUAUUAGUCGUCUUUAUGCUCGAUAUUUCGGCGGGGACUUGCAGAUCAUCUCUAUGGAAGGAUAUGGAACUGAUGCAUACCUCCACUUAUCACGGCUGGGAGAUUCGGAGGAACCCUUGACUUAAUCGAUUCAUAAGAAGCCAUUCCUCAUUCCUGUAGUUAGGACUCUAUUGCUUUCUCAAUUACCGUGCUGGUAUGCAAAUAUUGUUCUGAAGGCCAGUCACCUAUUAGUUCAGCUGUCCAUGCCCUAUUUGUUAUCUUUGUUGUUCAUUCAUCAUCUCGAUGGAAUGUGAUCAUAAUUCAGAAUAGUUUUGCUUCUGGUUUGUACUGUCAUUAUAAUUGUUCAACCUCCAAUAAUGGUAUCUGUCGAGCACCCGAGGCAUUGAAUUUGAGUAAUGGAAUUCACCAUAAUUGUUCAACCUCCAAUAAAGUCUGUAACUCCAAUUCUUCAAA